UACGAGGGCUCCAAGCGUUAUCCGGAUUUAUUGGGCGUAAAGAGUGCGUAGGAGGACAGGAAAGUCUGCUGUUAAAUCUUGGGGCUCAACUUCAAGGCCGCAGCAGAAACUUCUUGUCUAGAGUGUGCGAGAGGCUGAUAGAACUCACGGUGUAGGGGUGAAAUCCGUUGAUAUCGUGGGGAAUACCAAAGGCGAAGGCAUUCAGCUGGCGCAUUACUGACUCUAAAGCACGAAAGCGUGGGGAGCAAAAAGG
This 253-nucleotide unclassified non-coding RNA is filed under the name uncultured Parcubacteria group bacterium. RNAcentral's name for it is "contains 16S-23S intergenic spacer region". It matches the Rfam family "Bacterial small subunit ribosomal RNA", at positions 524 to 776 of the family's 1533-position model. The record is from RNAcentral.